Molecule: ribosomal RNA, 491 nt
Filed under: uncultured bacterium
Lineage: Bacteria
Description: partial 16S ribosomal RNA
Rfam family: Bacterial small subunit ribosomal RNA
Source: RNAcentral
GAUGAACGCUGGCUACAGGCUUAACACAUGCAAGUCGAGGGGAAACGACGGGGAAGCUUGCUUCCCCGGGCGUCGACCGGCGCACGGGUGAGUAACGCGUAUCCAACCUGCCUCUGACUGAGGGAUAACCCGUCGAAAGUCGGCCUAAUACCUCAUGGCAUCGUCUGCGGGCAUCCAACGACGAUUAAAGAUUUCAUCGGUCAGAGAUGGGGAUGCGUCUGAUUAGCUUGUUGGCGGGGUAACGGCCCACCAAGGCGACGAUCAGUAGGGGUUCUGAGAGGAAGGUCCCCCACAUUGGAACUGAGACACGGUCCAAACUCCUACGGGAGGCAGCAGUGAGGAAUAUUGGUCAAUGGGUGAGAGCCUGAACCAGCCAAGUAGCGUGCAGGAUGACGGCCCUAUGGGUUGUAAACUGCUUUUAUGCGGGGAUAAAGUGAGGGACGUGUCCUUCAUUGCAGGUACCGCAUGAAUAAGGACCGGCUAAUUCCGUG